UAAAUGAGAAACACCGUGUACAAAUUAAUUUUCUUGCACAUUUUCCUUGUGCAGAUUUGUGAUCGGUAUGUUGUCUCCUCUGGAGUCGGCAACAGAGAGUCAAUGGAACAGCUGACGAAGCAGGGAGAAGAGGAAGGCCUUGAACGGGAGAGAGGCAGGAAGGUGAAGACCGGCGGCAGUGAAGUCUGAGCGAGGUGGCCCCUGCAGGGGCCCCGGUGAGCGAGGUCGGCAGCCUUGGCCAAGGCAGAGGCACAAGAUGGAGACAAUGAGUUGUCUGCUUAGACUUGGUCACUGAAUAACAGGGCUCAGAGAUUGAUCGGACGGAAAUGAAGGCUGAGCAAGGGAUGCGCUGAAAAUAAGAUUUAACCCCGUGACUGCUCACCAAAGUGAGAAAGAUUAUAUGCUAGAAUGGUACAUGGAGCGGGUUCCAUGGUCCGCAUAGCUGACUGCCGCAGAGAUGCCUCCAGAGCGAGCUGUGUGCCUUCAAUGCCAUUGUUGGGCAGAUGAGCUGGAGCUAAUCCUUUGCGGGGGUUUUGCAGAUGAAGAAUUUAGGCCUGACAAGAAAGAUCACCAGCCCAAGAUUCUACCACUAGUAAGUGGCAGGACUGGCCCUUGGCCUCCAGAGGUUGGGUGUGCAGUUAUCACACUGUGCCACCUCUACUGUGUGGGAGGUUUGUCGUCAG
RNAcentral lists this long non-coding RNA (683 nucleotides) under Felis catus (domestic cat). Its description in RNAcentral is "lncRNA (ENSFCAG00000043319.2)". The record is from RNAcentral. Lineage: Eukaryota; Metazoa; Chordata; Mammalia; Carnivora; Felidae.